RNAcentral lists this ribosomal RNA (472 nucleotides) under uncultured bacterium. RNAcentral describes it as "bacterial SSU rRNA". It matches the Rfam family "Bacterial small subunit ribosomal RNA", at positions 335 to 798 of the family's 1533-position model. The record is from RNAcentral.
ACUCCUACGGGAGGCAGCAGUGGGGAAUAUUGCACAAUGGGCGCAAGCCUGAUGCAGCCAUGCCGCGUGUAUGAAGAAGGCCUUCGGGUUGUAAAGUACUUUCAGCAGUGAGGAAGGUGGGUAUGUUAAUAGCAUAUUCAUUUGACGUUAGCUGCAGAAGAAGCACCGGCUAACUCCGUGCCAGCAGCCGCGGUAAUACGGAGGGUGCGAGCGUUAAUCGGAAUUACUGGGCGUAAAGCGCAUGCAGGUGGUUUGUUAAGUCAGAUGUGAAAGCCCGGGGCUCAACCUCGGAAUUGCAUUUGAAACUGGCAAACUAGAGUACUGUAGAGGGGGGUAGAAUUUCAGGUGUAGCGGUGAAAUGCGUAGAGAUCUGAAGGAAUACCGGUGGCGAAGGCGGCCCCCUGGACAGAUACUGACACUCAGAUGCGAAAGCGUGGGGAAGCAAACAGGAUUAGAUACCCUGGUAGCGUAG